AUUGAACGCUGGCGGCAGGCCUAACACAUGCAAGUCGAGCGGAUGAAGGGAGCUUGCUCCUGGAUUCAGCGGCGGACGGGUGAGUAAUGCCUAGGAAUCUGCCUGGUAGUGGGGGAUAACGUCCGGAAACGGGCGCUAAUACCGCAUACGUCCUGAGGGAGAAAGUGGGGGAUCUUCGGACCUCACGCUAUCAGAUGAGCCUAGGUCGGAUUAGCUAGUUGGUGGGGUAAAGGCCUACCAAGGCGACGAUCCGUAACUGGUCUGAGAGGAUGAUCAGUCACACUGGCACUGAGAAACGGUCCAGACUCCUACGGGAGGCAGCAGUGGGGAAUAUUGGACGAUGGGCGAAAGCCUGAUCCAGCCAUGCCGCGUGUGUGAAGAAGGUCUUCGGAUUGUAAAGCACUUUAAGUUGGGAGGAAGGGCAGUAAGUUAAUACCUUGCUGUUUUGACGUUACCAACAGAAUAAGCACCGGCUAACUUCGUG
Molecule: ribosomal RNA, 484 nt
Filed under: uncultured bacterium
Lineage: Bacteria
Description: partial 16S ribosomal RNA
Rfam family: Bacterial small subunit ribosomal RNA
Source: RNAcentral